AUUUUUUUCACUCCGCCAGUCACCGAGUGAGAGAGACCCCCCUCGCCCCUAUUACCACGUCUGACGCAGGUUCUUAAUACAGUGGGAAUUGCCCGAAAUUCAAAGGGAUUUAAUAUUCAUUCAGUUUACAUUUCAGGCACAAUAGUUGAAAUUGAAAAAUUCUCCCAAUAGCUCUGCUUUUAGUUUGAAUUCUCGUUAAUUUACACUUUAUUGCUUAUCCUGUAUGCAUAUAAUGUUGCGUGUUUUGAAGCACAGGCAUCAUCAUGCCAAAUUCUCUUUUUUGGAUAGUUUUUGUGUUUUCUAUACAUAUAAUCCAGUUAAAAUGUCUUUCUCCUCAAACUUACCUUUCUCCUAUUGUUUCCUCUUCUCUUUCAGAAUUUGUUCUUCUUUUCUUAAUUUCUGAGCUAUUUCUCUUCACGUUCGACAAAGAAGUCCCUACUAUAUAGUCUCUACUUUGUCUUAUGUUUUACUUUUCCUACACCUGACAAAGGGUGCGUUUUAAGGCAAGCUUCGCUCUUUGUUAAUUGAGAAAGGAAGUGAAGUUUGCUUUCCUAUCCAUCCUUUGUUGAGAUUGCCAAGAAAAGAACAGAUUCUGAAAGUGGAAACCAUAGGUGAAACGUUUGCGGUGACCAUAUAUGUCUGUAUAAUUCAUUCCUUUGUGCGCAGUAUGGGAUGUAGCGAAAUCUCUGUUACGUUGGUUCAAGCUUCUCCGUGGCAUUUUCGUUAUUUCAUUACAAGCGUAUGAGAUGGUUUAUGUGUUUAAGAAUAUUUGAUAUGACUGUUUCAUAUUAUUUAUGUUUAUUACAUUAUUUUGGCU
Pelobates cultripes (western spadefoot toad) is the source of this 817-nucleotide non-coding RNA. Lineage: Eukaryota; Metazoa; Chordata; Amphibia; Anura; Pelobatidae. The record is from the annotation of a GenBank genome assembly.